RNAcentral lists this long non-coding RNA (1479 nucleotides) under Dicentrarchus labrax (European seabass). RNAcentral's name for it is "lncRNA (ENSDLAG00005032348.1)". The record is from RNAcentral. Lineage: Eukaryota; Metazoa; Chordata; Actinopteri; Moronidae.
AUGGAAAAUGAGCAUAUAGAUGGUAGUGUAGAUGGCAAUGAUGAAGUUGAAUCAGAUUAUGUACAAAUGGAAAAUGAGCAUAUAGAUGGUAGUGUAGCUGGAAGUGAUGGAGCUGAACCAGAUUCUCACUCUGACAGUGAGGAGCAUCAACCUAGUCAGGAUCUGCUUAUAAGGAGCCUAAGAUAUUGGGCAACAUCCUACUCCAUCAGUCUGGUUGCUUUGUCUGCUCUGCUGUCCAUCUUAAAGCUAUUUCACCCUAGGCUUCCUAAAGAUGGAAGAACUCUGCUUGGAACACAAUCUCAUGUUGCAACCACUCAAAUGCAAGGUGGCGAGUACUUUCAUUUUGGAUUGGUGCAAGGAAUACUUUCACGAUUGAAAUGUCUGAGUUUACCAGUGAACCUCACAACUCUUACUUUACAGUUCAACAUAGAUGAUCUCCCCCUCUUUAAGAGUUCAAGACUUCAAUUCUGGCCUAUACUUGCAAUCCUAAAAUGUGAUUACACUAAGUCCCCAUUUAUUGUCGGUAUAUUUUGUGGUUUAAGCAAGCCAAAGUGCGUUGUUGAGUAUCUGCAGCAAUUUGUUAGUGACCUUAAAAAUGUACUGGCUAACGGCAUUUUUCAUAAGGGUAAGCCAUUGAAUGUAGAGGUUUCCUCAUUUGUGUGUGAUGCUCCCGCCAGAGCCUAUGUUAAGAAUGUUAAGUCACAUAAUGGGUAUUCAGGAUGCGACAAGUGUGGUCAAGAGGGUGUGUGUAGGAACAAAAUGACGUAUCCUGAAACAAAUGUCAGGCUCAGGACUGGCUCGAGUUAUUGUGAUAUGAUUGAUGAGGAACAUCACUUGAAACAGACACUCAGUCCUUUAACAGGGAUUGUAAAGAUGGUUUCUUCAUUCCCAAUAGAUUAUAUGCAUCUCUGUUGUCUUGGGUUGAUGAGAAAACUGUUGAAUAUGUGGUCAAAGGGCAAUCUAGCCACUAGGCUUCCUUCACAAACUGUUAACAGUAUAUCAAGCAAACUGCUGGUGUUACAUUCCCACACCCCUGUUGAAUUCAAUCGCAAGCCAAGAGGUUUGAAUGAGCUUGAUUGUUGGAAAGCUACUGAGCUCCGAUCCUUUAUGUUAUACUGGGGUCCUGUAGUUCUGAAGGAUUGCCUUCCUAGUGAGCUUUAUGACAAUUUUAUGUUAUUUUCAGUGGCCAUGUAUUUGUUUUUGUCACCUGGACUUCAUUGUCAAAUGGUUGAAUUUGCACAUAGAUCGAUGAUUUCCUUUGUCGAACACUUUGGACAGCUGUAUGGUACGGAUGAGAUUGUGUUCACUGUUCAGCAGCUUAUACAUUUAGUUGAUGAAUACAAACAAUUUGGACCUUUAGAUAAUGUUUCAGGAUUCCCUUUUGAGAAUUAUCUUUAUCCAAAUAAAGCAUCUUUUACGCAAGCCACACAAACCUCUACAACAGGUUGUCAAAAGGUUGUCAGAAAUGCCACAUGUUGA